UACGUAGGGGGCGAGCGUUGUCCGGAAUUACUGGGCGUAAAGGGCUUGUAGGCGGGAUGGCGCGUCGGGGAGUAAAUCUCUCGGCUCAACUGAGAGAACAUCUGCGAUACGGCCGUUCUUGAGGACAGAAGAGGAAAGCAGAAUUCCCGGUGUAGCGGUGAAAUGCGUAGAUAUCGGGAGGAAUACCAGUGGCGAAGGCGGCUUUCUGGUCUGAUUCUGACGCUGAGGAGCGAAAGCCAGGGGAGCGAACGGG
RNAcentral lists this ribosomal RNA (253 nucleotides) under uncultured bacterium. RNAcentral describes it as "partial 16S ribosomal RNA". It matches the Rfam family "Bacterial small subunit ribosomal RNA", at positions 524 to 776 of the family's 1533-position model. The record is from RNAcentral.